GAUGAAGAACGUAGCGAAAUGCGAUACUUGGUGUGAAUUGCAGAAUCCCGUGAACCAUCGAGUCUUUGAACGCAAGUUGCGCCCGAAGCCACUAGGCCGAGGGCACGCCUGCCUGGGCGUCACACGCCGUUGCCCCCCCAUCUACUCCUUCGGGAUUGCGGGGGGGCGGAUGAUUGCCUCCCGUGCGCCUAGCCGCGCGGUUGGCAUAAAUACCAAGUCCUCGGCGACGCACGCCACGACAAUCGGUGGUUGCGAAACCUCGGUUGCCCGUCGUGUGCGUUCGUCGCGCAUCGAGGGCUCGAAAAAAUGCUCGGCUCCGGCUGGGCUUUCAACGCGACCCCAGGUCAGGCGGGGUUACCCGCUGAAUUUAAGCAUAUCAAUAAGCGGAGGA
Molecule: unclassified non-coding RNA, 391 nt
Filed under: soil metagenome
Description: partial contains 5.8S ribosomal RNA, internal transcribed spacer 2, and large subunit ribosomal RNA
Rfam family: 5.8S ribosomal RNA (bases 1-122)
Source: RNAcentral